This 377-nucleotide unclassified non-coding RNA is filed under the name uncultured Actinomycetes bacterium. Its description in RNAcentral is "uncultured actinobacterium contains 16S-23S intergenic spacer region". Lineage: Bacteria; Bacillati; Actinomycetota; Actinomycetes. The record is from RNAcentral.
UCCGGUUUGUCACCGGCAGUCUGGCGUGAGUCCCCAACUUAAUGCUGGCAACACGCCACGGGGGUUGCGCUCGUUGCGGGACUUAACCCAACAUCUCACGACACGAGCUGACGAUAGCCAUGCACCACCUGUGACGGUGCCCCGAAGGGAAACCGUGUUUCCACGGCUGUCACCGACAUGUCAAGCCCAGGUAAGGUUCUUCGCGUUGCGUCGAAUUAAACCACAUGCUCCGCUGCUUGUGCGGGUCCCCGUCAAUUCCUUUGAGUUUUAGCCUUGCGGCCGUACUUCCCAGGCGGGGAACUUAAUGCGUUAGCUGCGGCACGGACCACGUGGAAUGUGACCCACACCUAGUUCCCAACGUUUACGGCGUGGACUAC